Molecule: long non-coding RNA, 173 nt
Organism: Sarcophilus harrisii (Tasmanian devil)
Lineage: Eukaryota; Metazoa; Chordata; Mammalia; Dasyuromorphia; Dasyuridae
Exons: 3
Source: RefSeq, a predicted model, not a curated record
AAAAAUUACAAAUAACUCCGGCCUUCAAUCCAAUGGCAGAUACAGAGAAAAUUACAAAUAACUCCAGCCUUCAGUCCAGUAAGCAUCCAUGAAGCCUAUUUACCUAACCAGAAAUACUGAGGAUAUAAAAGAAAAAAAAAGAUGGCAGAUACAAAGAAAAUUACAAACAACUC